This 463-nucleotide ribosomal RNA is filed under the name uncultured bacterium. RNAcentral describes it as "partial 16S ribosomal RNA". It matches the Rfam family "Bacterial small subunit ribosomal RNA", at positions 28 to 507 of the family's 1533-position model. The record is from RNAcentral.
GACGAACGCUGGCGGCGUGCUUAACACAUGCAAGUCGAGCGGAAAGGCCACUUCGGUGGUACUCGAGCGGCGCACGGGUGAGUAACACGUGAGUAAUCUGCCCCUCACUUUGGGAUAGCCACCGGAAACGGUGAUUAAUACCGGAUAUGACCAUAUGUCGCAUGGCGUGUGGUGGAAAGUUUUUCGGUGAGGGAUGUGCUCGCGGCCUAUCAGCUUGAUGGUGAGGUAAGGGCUCACCAUGGCUUCGCCGGGUAGGCGGCCUGGGGGGGUGACCGGUCACACUGGGACUGGGAAACGGCCCGAACCCCUACGGGAGGCAGCAGGGGGGAAUAUGGGACAAUGGGCGGAAGCCUGAGCCAGCAACGCCGCGGGGGGGAUAACGGCUUUCGGGUGUUAACCCUCUUUCAGUGCCGAGGAAGCACAAGUGACGGUAGGUACAGAAGAAGCACCGGCCAACUACGUG